Molecule: small RNA, 665 nt
Filed under: Pan troglodytes (chimpanzee)
Lineage: Eukaryota; Metazoa; Chordata; Mammalia; Primates; Hominidae
Description: processed transcript
Source: RNAcentral
AUUGGAAAGGCGCCGCCGCCGCCUCCGCCUUGGAGCUCGGGGUGUUUCGGGGGCUGCGGCCACAGGCAGGAAGGCGCUCCUCUCCUGCCCCGCCGACGCCCGGCCAGCCCGCUUCGCCCUGACCUGUUUCCUCAUGACUGCCCCCGGCCCCGCUGCCGACGGACCUCGCCCCGGCGUCCGGAUUUAACACGGAAACCCGGGUCGGAGGCCGCGCGGGGAGGAGGAGGGCGACCCGGUCGGUCCCGCGACCCUCUCGGCCCGGCUCGGCGCCUCGGGGGGAGCCAUGACCUCGCUGACCCAGCGCAGCUCCGGCCUGGUGCAGCGGCGCACCGAGGCCUCCCGCAACGCCGCCGACAAGGAGCGGGCGGCGGGCGGCGGCGCCGGCAGCAGCGAGGACGACGCGCAGAGCCGCCGCGACGAGCAGGACGACGACGACAAGGGCGACUCCAAGGAAACGCGGCUGACCCUGAUGGAGGAAGUGCUCCUGCUGGGCCUCAAGGACCGCGAGGUAAUCUGUAAGUCAGAUGCUCCAACAGGGGAUGUUCUUCUUGAUGAAGCUCUGAAGCAUGUUAAGGAAACUCAGCCUCCAGAAACGGUCCAGAACUGGAUUGAAUUACUUAGUGGUGAGACAUGGAAUCCAUUAAAAUUGCAUUAUCAGUUAAGAA